GAUGAACGCUGGCGGCGUGCUUAACACAUGCAAGUCGAACGAGAAAUGGAGACGGAAACCUUCGGGCUGAAGGCUUCAUUUCGAGUGGCGGACGGGUGAGUAACGCGUGGGUAACCUGCCUCAUGCAGGGGGAUAACAGUUGGAAACGACUGUUAAUACCGCAUAAGACCACAGCACCGCAUGGUGCGGGGGUAAAAACUCCGGUGGUAUGAGAUGGACCCGCGUUCGAUUAGCCAGUUGGCGGGGUAACGGCCCACCAAAGCGACGAUCGAUAGCCGAUCUGAGAGGAUGACCGGCCACAUUGGGACUGAGACACGGCCCAAACUCCUACGGGAGGCAGCAGUGGGGAAUAUUGCACAAUGGGGGAAACCCUGAUGCAGCGACGCCGCGUGAGUGAAGAAGUACUUCGGUAUGUAAAGCUCUAUCAGCAGGGAAGAAAAUGACGGUACCUGAGUAAGAAGCCCCGGCUAACUACGUG
Molecule: ribosomal RNA, 478 nt
Filed under: uncultured bacterium
Lineage: Bacteria
Description: partial 16S ribosomal RNA
Rfam family: Bacterial small subunit ribosomal RNA
Source: RNAcentral